GCCAGUGAUGCUAUGCCCAACAUCUUGAGGCGCAGAUGGCUCCAGGAUCCUGUUUACAGGAUGAACCUACCUGAAGUCCCUGUAUCCACAUGACAUCCAUGCGCAAGUCUGAGGU
Molecule: non-coding RNA, 115 nt
Organism: Triticum aestivum (bread wheat)
Lineage: Eukaryota; Viridiplantae; Streptophyta; Magnoliopsida; Poales; Poaceae
Source: Rfam